GAGCGCCGUAGCAAUACGGAGCGGCAGACGGGAGAGUAACACGUGGGAACGUGCCCUUCAGUUCGGAACAACCCAGGGAAACUUGGGCUAAUACCGGAUACGUCCUUCGGGAGAAAGAUUUAUCGCCGAGAGAUUGGCCCGCGUCGGAUUAGCUAGUUGGUGAGGUAACGGCCCACCAAGGCUAUGAUCCGUAGCUGGUUUGAGAGAACGACCAGCCACACUGGGACUGAGACACGGCCCAGACUCCUACGGGAGGCAGCAGUGGGGAAUCUUGGACAAUGGGCGCAAGCCUGAUCCAGCCAUGCCGCGUGAGUGAAGAAGGCCUUAGGGUUGUAAAGCUCUUUCGCCGACGAAGAUAAUGACGGUAGUCGGAGAAGAAGCCCCGGCUAACUUCGUG
Molecule: ribosomal RNA, 397 nt
Filed under: uncultured bacterium
Lineage: Bacteria
Description: bacterial SSU rRNA
Rfam family: Bacterial small subunit ribosomal RNA
Source: RNAcentral